Molecule: ribosomal RNA, 253 nt
Filed under: uncultured bacterium
Lineage: Bacteria
Description: partial 16S ribosomal RNA
Rfam family: Bacterial small subunit ribosomal RNA
Source: RNAcentral
UACGUAGGUGGCAAGCGUUGUCCGGAUUUACUGGGCGUAAAGAGCGCGCAGGCGGUCGAUCAAGUCGAGUGUGAAAGCCCCCGGCUCAACUGGGGAGGGUCAUUCGAUACUGAUCGACUCGAAGGCAGGAGAGGGUAGUGGAAUUCCCGGUGUAGUGGUGAAAUGCGUAGAUAUCUGGAGGAACACCGGUGGCGAAGGCGGCAUCCUGGACCGGUAUUGACACUGAGGCGCGAAAGCCAGGGGAGCAAACGGG